AUAUAUAUAUAUAUACAUAUAUAUACAUAUAUAUGUAUGUAUAUGUGUAUGUAUAUGAACUUGUAUAUAACUUAGAGUCAGAGCGGAGAAGAUGGAACAUCAAUGGGGAAAUCUUAUUAAGGAAUUUUGACUGUUAACUGAUUGCUGUUAUAAAACAGGAUUCCAAGGUUUUGUGGACAGCUGUGGUAAAUAUGGAGGCACUUGUGGCGCAACCUUGUGGACAAAUAUAUACACAAGCUUAGUUACAUAUGAAUGCAUGACACACACAUAUAUGAGUAUUUGAACACACACAAACACAAAGACACACAAACACUCAUGCACAUGCACAAAUACUCGCACAAACUCUUAUAACAAAGCAUAAGAAAUAGCAGGUAUAUAUAUAUAUAUAUACAUAUAUUUUUAAUAAUUUAUUAUUAUUAUUAAUAUAAGGAAAUUAAUAUCCAAACUCGUCAUAAGGAUA
This is a long non-coding RNA of Octopus sinensis (East Asian common octopus), 460 nucleotides long. RefSeq lists it as uncharacterized. The record is from RefSeq and is a predicted model, not a curated record. The transcript has 3 exons. NCBI's taxonomy places the organism in Eukaryota, Metazoa, Mollusca, Cephalopoda, Octopoda, Octopodidae.